RNAcentral lists this non-coding RNA (573 nucleotides) under Pan troglodytes (chimpanzee). Lineage: Eukaryota; Metazoa; Chordata; Mammalia; Primates; Hominidae. The record is from RNAcentral.
GAAGGCGGCCAUGAGUCCGUUGCAGGCCCGCCACAGGGCAGGCGCCAUGGCUCGGAGAACGCGGCGCGGGGCGGUGAGUCCUGCCACGUGCGGGGCGGCCCCUAAGGUAAAAGCCAUGCUCCAAGUCCCCUUCUGACUUCUAGUCACUUCCGUGCUGCCAGCAGAGAGCAUGGGAUUCUUCCUGAGGAGCCUGAGUCUCAGCUUUGCCAGGUCCUUGCUGUGUGACCUUGGGCACCUGUGCUCCCUUAACAAAGAGGAAUAAAACCUCUUCAGACUACUCUCCUAUCGAUUCUCUCCUGGAACAUAUGACCACCAUCAAUUAUAGGCAAGAACAUGAACACGGGAGUCCCAAAGACUUGGGUUCAAAUGUCAGCCCCUUCACUCACUGGCUGUAGGUGUGAGGCCCUGGCUCCUGUGGGGCUACUGCAGAGGAGAAACUUCUGGAACAGAGAGCUCCUUGUCCAGGGAUGCUGCAUCUGGGUGAGCUGCUCCUUGGAUAUGGUGCAAGUGUGGCCAGGGUGUGGUGUGAAAGGAGCAGAAGUUUUCAGGACUGAAUCUGGAUGGACCACUGAC